AAUCCCAUGACAUAUUUCAAUGUUUGAAAAUUCACAUUUUGAAUCCGCUGUACACACCUACUGAAUUUUUACAACUAAUUUUGAAUAGGUGAGAUACUCAACACCGAAGUGAAAAAAAAUUAUCAUUCAUGUUUUUAUUGCUCGUAUGUGUGGUAUACGCCAGAUGACCAGCACAACUCACUCAACACACACUCCUCCAAUCACCUCAAACGAACCCGAUAGCUGCUGUAGUACCAAGACUGACCUGUGAGUGGCAGCACAGUGCCACUGGGCAUCCACAUUGCCAAAAUGUACCAAGAAGAAUUGUGGGAAAAGGAAAAAGAAGGCUGAAUGUUAUCCUUUCUGGUAACAACACUGCCGUUGCCAACUUUAGUUUCUAUUGUGGCGAACGAGUUCAAACCCUCAACACAACCAGCUGCACUGUUUGCGUCCGCCAACAGCUAAUUGGCUAUUCUUCUGUUUGAUGUCACAGUCAGUGUCUUAAUGAUUUGUGAUUGUAAAUAUUGAACAGGUUUAACACUUACAAGUGUCAGUGGUCCCGAGCGUAUCGGGGAGGAAAGAUCACUUUUAACACACACCUCACCACACGUUAAUCACCCAGGGUAAUCUUUCAGAGACAUAAAAUAACCGAGCCGACCGAUCACAAGAGUUGAAAAAUAUCGUCGAUAUGUGUGUCUGUGUGUAUUCCGUCUUAGCUUAGGUCCAGCAAGAAAAGCUAAUUCUUUAAUUCCAAAUUGGAAACAUUGUUUACCAAAUUGGUAAGUUAUGUGAAUGUUUUCCAAAUUGGACUCCGUUUUCUUUGUACAGGCUGAGUAAGUCAUCAUUUUUGUUUUGUUUUGUGGUUUUGUCUGCGUCAUGGGCCGAUGGACUUCGACAAAUCUCAGGGAAAGUUUUGCUCAGCAUGUCGUAGCCCAGCUUUAUUCUUGGGAGGGGGACGAUGGUUGAUCGAAUGGAAAUCUAUUGGAGGAAUCAAACCACUCUUGUUUAAAAAAAAAAAAAAA
Molecule: long non-coding RNA, 1001 nt
Organism: Hippocampus comes (tiger tail seahorse)
Lineage: Eukaryota; Metazoa; Chordata; Actinopteri; Syngnathiformes; Syngnathidae
Exons: 2
Source: RefSeq, a predicted model, not a curated record